This 569-nucleotide ribosomal RNA is filed under the name Tetragonurus cuvieri. Its description in RNAcentral is "partial large subunit ribosomal RNA". It matches the Rfam family "Bacterial large subunit ribosomal RNA", at positions 1830 to 2597 of the family's 2925-position model. The record is from RNAcentral. Lineage: Eukaryota; Metazoa; Chordata; Actinopteri; Scombriformes; Tetragonuridae.
CUUGCAAAAGCAAAGAAUAAGAGGUCCAGCCUGCCCUGUGACUAUAUGUUUAACGGCCGCGGUAUUUUAACCGUGCGAAGGUAGCGCAAUCACUUGUCUUUUAAAUGAAGACCUGUAUGAAUGGCACAACGAGGGCUUAACUGUCUCCUUUUUCAGGUCAAUGAAAUUGAUCUCCCCGUGCAGAAGCGGGUAUAUAUACAUAAGACGAGAAGACCCUAUGGAGCUUUAGACACCAAGGCAUUUCAUGUUAAACACCCUUUUACAAUAGGCUAAACCAAAUGAACCGUGCCCCUAUGUCUUUGGUUGGGGCGACCGCGGGGAAACAAAAAACCCCCACGUGGAAUGGGAGCACUGCCUCCUACAACCAAGAGCUGCAGCUCUAGUAAACAGAAAUUCUGACCAUCAGAUCCGGCAAUGCCGAUCAACGGACCGAGUUACCCUAGGGAUAACAGCGCAAUCCCCUUUUAGAGCCCAUAUCGACAAGGGGGUUUACGACCUCGAUGUUGGAUCAGGACAUCCUAAUGGUGCAGCCGCUAUUAAGGGUUCGUUUGUUCAACGAUUAAAGUCCU